UACGAAGGGGGCUAGCGUUGUUCGGAAUCACUGGGCGUAAAGGGCGCGUAGGCGGCUUUGUAAGUCUGGGGUGAAAGCCUGUGGCUCAACCACAGAAUUGCCUUCGAUACUGCAUGGCUUGAGACCGGAAGAGGUAAGUGGAACUGCGAGUGUAGAGGUGAAAUUCGUAGAUAUUCGCAAGAACACCAGUGGCGAAGGCGGCUUACUGGUCCGGUUCUGACGCUGAGGCGCGAAAGCGUGGGGAGCAAACAGG
This 253-nucleotide ribosomal RNA is filed under the name uncultured bacterium. Its description in RNAcentral is "partial 16S ribosomal RNA". It matches the Rfam family "Bacterial small subunit ribosomal RNA", at positions 524 to 776 of the family's 1533-position model. The record is from RNAcentral.